AAGUCGUAACAAGGUUUCCGUAGGUGAACCUGCGGAAGGAUCAUUAACACGUAUCCACGUAUCCACCCAACGCGCACCCGUUUUCCCUUCUCCCUCUAGAGCAGAGAACGAAUCGAGUCGACAGCAAAGUACGAGUGGGGUCCCUCAAAGGCCUAUCUGCUGUUCACCACUGAGGCUUCGGCCUCGACGAUUGCAUUUCUGUGGAGGUUCAUUUCUUUACUACUUGGGUUUCCAACUCUGCCGUGGUAGUAAGGAUACUUUUAAUUUAACCUAUCUCACCCCUUUUUGCUAGUUGACUUUUAUAUGUUGUUACUUGCGCUUUGCGCAUGGAGCACACGUUUAAUUAUUUGAACGUUAAAAAUACAACUCUUAGCAAUGGAUAUCUUGGUUCUC
This 393-nucleotide unclassified non-coding RNA is filed under the name fungal sp. RNAcentral's name for it is "partial internal transcribed spacer region". The stretch from base 1 to 46 matches the Rfam family "Eukaryotic small subunit ribosomal RNA", at positions 1786 to 1831 of the family's 1831-position model. Lineage: Eukaryota; Fungi. The record is from RNAcentral.